GUUUUAGUGUAAAAUCUAGAGUCUAAAUAAUUAAUUUCAAAAAAAUUUAAGGAUUAAAGUGUAAUAUAGUGUAAAAUUUAUGAAGUAAAUAAUUAAUUUCUCAAAAUUUAUGGACUAAAAUAUAAUAUAAAGCAAAAUCUAGAAGCUAAACUAUAUUUGGACAACUUUCUGUAUGGCUUGAAUGAUUUAUUGAAAUAUAUAUGAUAUAGACAAAAUAAAACGUUUUCAUAAGAGAAGCUUCCCACUAACUUAAAAAUGGUGAUCAUGUGGCUAUAGCAAUUUAAAAACUGAAUGCAGCCCAUUACAACGAACAAAGUAAAUUAAAAUUGCUAUUUUGCUUAUUUCCGUGCGUAUUCAAAGGAUAACAUAAAUUUACAAACUAAAAUGAAAGAAAGCAAUACAGAGAAGCCUGCUAAGAACUAUUCCUUACAUUGAAGGCUUUUUAUUAUGGUAGCGAUACUUUAUGCCAGCAGUGUAAGAUGCAGAGAGUGAUAUUCAUCCUACUUGUGCCAUGCAAGGAUACUGCAGAAUAUAUAACAUAUAAAUGAACAGAAGAAAAUGGUGACAAGGGAUAACUAGAAGUGUGGG
Molecule: unclassified non-coding RNA, 588 nt
Filed under: Hevea brasiliensis (rubber tree)
Lineage: Eukaryota; Viridiplantae; Streptophyta; Magnoliopsida; Malpighiales; Euphorbiaceae
Source: RNAcentral